Molecule: ribosomal RNA, 405 nt
Rfam family: Bacterial small subunit ribosomal RNA
UGGGGAAUAUUAGGCAAUGGGGGAAACCCUGACCUAGCAACGCCGCGUGAAGGAUGAAGGCUUUCGGGUUGUAAACUUCUUUUACCCGGGAAGAACAAGGUGACGGUACCGGGAGAAUAAGCCACGGCUAACUACGUGCCAGCAGCCGCGGUAAUACGUAGGUGGCAAGCGUUAUCCGGAAUUACUGGGUGUAAAGGGCGCGUAGGCGGGACUGUAAGUUGGGUGUGAAAUAUCCGGGCUCAACCCGGGGGCUGCACCCAAAACUAUAGUUCUUGAGUGAUGGAGAGGCAGGCGGAAUUCCCGGUGUAGCGGUGGAAUGCGUAGAUAUCGGGAGGAACACCAGUGGCGAAGGCGGCCUGCUGGACAUUAACUGACGCUGAGGCGCGAAAGCGUGGGGAGCAAACA